Molecule: long non-coding RNA, 2136 nt
Organism: Helianthus annuus (common sunflower)
Lineage: Eukaryota; Viridiplantae; Streptophyta; Magnoliopsida; Asterales; Asteraceae
Exons: 6
Source: RefSeq, a predicted model, not a curated record
UUCCCCCUCUUUACCUUCAUUAUCAAUCAUCCGCCCUUUUCUCCUCAAUCAAAAUCCUAUUCACAAACCCUAAUUCUCUAUACUGCAUCUAUGGCGUCAAAAAAUUUCUAUUAUUUAUCGGCAUGUGAUCUGGAUAAAAGGGUUUUCUUUUUACAUCGAUCAAAAAACCCUAGACUUCUACCUUUCUUCUUCAUCUCUCUAUUCCAUCUCCCUCAUGCCUUAGUCCCUUGCCAUCCACGUUUUAUCUUCUUUCCAUCGGUCAUGAAAGGGUAAGUCGUAGGUGUUUUGAUUCAUCUGAACUUCAAUAAAAGGUUUCUUUGUUGAACGACAAGCCGAUUUUGCCGGUGAUUAGUUACAGGUAUGAGUUAUCUAUUUCUUAGGUUCUAAGUAUUGUCGUCAGAAAUUUGGGGUUUUUUAAUGCAGCGAUUAGGGUUCCGGCGAGUAGAGUAUGGUCGAUGAUGAGUUGAAUGGAAUAGUUGAGCAUCGAUGUCCAAGGUCGCUCAUAUCAGUAUAAUAAGAGGUUACUGGGUGUCGGAAAAAUCAUGGAGCUCUUCAACAAUGGCUGGACAGCAGAGUGGCAUUUGGUGAAUCGUUCAUUUCGUUGGACAUGGACUAUCAUAAGCGUUUUGGAUUAGUGCGUUAUACCAUGUUUCAUUUACUUGGAUUAGGUUGCUUCACAACACAAGGUUUUGGAAGAAAACCAACAACAUUACAAUCAAGUUCAAAUUCAAAAAGGUCAGUAUUUUGGUUCUUAUCGAGCAUUAGAGGUUGCAACCUCGACCAAUAUGAGCAGGUCAAUUUACUUUCCACUAUUGUUUACUUUCUGUUCCAAUAAGAAGAUCACCUGUAGAUUGAUUUAGAGUUGUGUGAUUUGUUACAUCUUAGUUAAAUCCAAUAUCAUCAGGUUCAUUGAAUAGAUGAGGUGCAUUGAAUUCACCGAUAUACGGGUAUGAGUUUAUCACAUGCAAUGGAUCUUGUGCAGACCCAAGAAAGCAGGUUCCUGGAAUUAUUGCGGGUAAGUACAUUAGGUUACAGAUCAACAGUUAAAAAGGUAACUUAUUAUUGAAAAAGGGCUUCAAUUAGAUUCAUCAAAUGGGGAGGGUUCAGGGUCAACUAAAUUUGGUGUGUGUGAAUGUUUGGGGUACUGGGCUUGGCAUGAGAAGUAGGUCCACAACUUGUGUGCAUUUGUGUGAGUUGGUUGUGGGAUUCUAAGAAUGGUGGGUCAAAAAGUGAGCUUUCUUCUUGUGGCCUUGACCAGGUUUUCAUUCGUAGGUAUGCAUUUCAGUUCAUGAGCUUUCUAUUAAAGAACAGUUCGUAGAAAAAAAGGGUUGGGGACUGGGUUGUAAGAAUAUAUUGAGGUGUGUAUCACACCAAUUCCAGGUUCCAGCUGGGUGCUCUAAAUGGGUCACCUGGGAAAGAAGACAUAUGUCGCUUCAUGCGCGACCGGUUGAGGAUAUCAAGAUGAUGACCAUAUGAGUGAUGAGAAGAAACAUUAUGGUCCAUCUGUUCAGUUUACUAAUGAAACCCACAAUAUGAACUAACGAAUGUACACUUUGUUGAAUUUAUGUUGGUGGCAUGAAACAGUUCGAGCAGAAAUGGCGUGAGGUAACCAGAAAAGGAUGCGACAUCAGCGGUUAGUUCGCCACCAUCUACACCCAGAAGUGUUGCAACAUCCAUACCCAUAUGAUGGUAAUGAACAAUCAUCGUGACAAGGCCAGGUUAAAGGAAAUGCAGAGGUUAGAAAGACAAUGGAUGAAAACAUACAAGAUAUUGUGGAUCAACAAAAUGCUUUUGUUGAGGCUGAUAUGGUUUUUUUGAAGACGUCUCAAAAUUCUUAUUGGCUCUUUAAUGAUAUAUAAAGCUAACACAUUAUCUUUUUGUAGGGGUGUGAAUUUCUAAUACAACCUGAAAACACAACACGAACUGAACACGAAUUUCUUGGAUUUGGGUUUACUCUAAACGGGUUUGGGGCAAUUUUAGGUCGAACCCAUGGACCUGUUUAGCUUAAUAGGUCAUGUUCGGGUCAAACCCGUCUGGUUUGCGGGUUGGCCCGUUUAGUUUAUAAAUGUAAUAAUAUGAUGGAUUAUGUGAAUGUAUGUAUAAUUGAGGGUUUUAAAAUAAAGUAAAUAUAUCCUU